RNAcentral lists this ribosomal RNA (253 nucleotides) under uncultured bacterium. Its description in RNAcentral is "partial 16S ribosomal RNA". It matches the Rfam family "Bacterial small subunit ribosomal RNA", at positions 524 to 776 of the family's 1533-position model. The record is from RNAcentral.
UACAGAGGUCUCAAGCGUUGUUCGGAUUCAUUGGGCGUAAAGGGUGCGUAGGCGGCGCGGUAAGUCGGGUGUGAAAUCUCGGAGCUUAACUCCGAAACUGCAGUCGAUACUGCCGUGCUUGAGGACUGGAGAGGAGACUGGAAUUUACGGUGUAGCGGUGAAAUGCGUAGAUAUCGUAAGGAAGACCAGUGGCGAAGGCGGGUCUCUGGACAGUUCCUGACGCUGAGGCACGAAGGUCAGGGGAGCAAACGGG